Zootermopsis nevadensis is the source of this 6899-nucleotide non-coding RNA. Lineage: Eukaryota; Metazoa; Arthropoda; Insecta; Blattodea; Termopsidae. The record is from RefSeq and is a predicted model, not a curated record.
UGUACAAUUACAGACUUUCGUGUUGGUUGUGUUGAAACUUUGCAUUCUUCUAUCAGGGAAUUAGUGUGGAUACUGAUGGAAUCUUUGGUAAUAAGCACUUUGUAUCACAUACAGGCCGGCCGCAGUGGUCACGCGGUCUGAGGUAUGGACCUCUUGCGCCUGGCCGCUGCGACCAUGGGUUCGAGUCCCACUCAAGACAUGGAUGUUUGUCCGCGUCCUUUCUCUUCCAGUCUGAUGGAUAAAGACUAGCCAAGGAAGGCAAGGCAAAACCACCGUGGUAUCUUCGCAAGAAACAACCCCUAAAUGGGGUUGCAAACCAAUCCUAGGAUUGAUAACCAACAACAAAAAAUCAUAUACAGUAAAGCCAAUUUACAAUUGAUUAUAAGCAAUUUGAACAGUUUUCAGUUUUUUAACACAGGAAUUGUCUUCUGUGAAAUCUAUUCCACAGUACAUGCCCCAUACAUUUAUGAUACAGAUGACAAAUCAGAAUUUCAUCCUACUUGAAGAGAUACACCCUACAGUCAUACUGCAAGACUGCAGAUUCAUACUAUUAAUACAAACUUUUGUGGUCUCUGACACAUAAAGAUGCAUGUGGGUACAGUCUGGUUAAUCCAUUAUGGCAUUUCAUUUAUAUUUAUUUAAAAGUAUGAAAUUUUCUUGCGGCUGCAUUCCAUUUAGAAAUUUCUGUAAAAUUUAUGUUUGAACCCAAUGGGGAAAAAAUUGAAAUUCAUCAUCAGCUGUUUCCUGUAAGUGUCAUGUUUACCUAGCUGGGAUACAGAUGUGGGAAAUACAGAAAACUUCACAGGCAUGUGUAUUCAAAUUACUGUACAUUGUAGCCAGUUUUACAAUUAACAAGUUUUCUUUUUCUUUUUUGUUUCCUUUACACAGCUACACAUCUGUGUUGAAUAAUAUUUCUUUUAUUUGCACAUGUGUCUCAAUAGGUAGGUCACAAUUACAUUUAUUUCUUUCAUGCCAGUUUGACAGUAGCAGAGAUUUUAAUGUUUGUUUCAUAAACCUUCAUAUACUUCAUACUUGCAAGUGCUCACUAUGAGUGAAUAUGAUUAGCUGUCAACAUACAUUUCUAGGAAAAAAAUUAUUUGUACAUUUAUAUGGUCUGAAGUACCAAAGGUUACAGAAUUUAGUCAGUAUUAACCUAGAUUCUCAUAUUGUCUUAGUAACUUUACAGGGUCAUUCUUUGUUUACAGAAGUUGAAUUUAUGUAAGCAGAAUAAUUACAAAUUAAUAAUUAAAUUUGCUGUAUACUUCUUUGCACAGUAUCCAACAGUGUGUAUUAUAAGUCAACAAUUUUAAAAUUUGCUGCCACUGUGUCAGUUGUAGCAGAAUUUGUAGGUACAUUUAUGAUUUGCUGUAUCACAAGAUUUCUCAUUCAUAACUCAAAAGCUUUAUUACUUAUUGUCAUAAACUGAAUGUAAAUACAGACAUCUCAUGGCUGUCAUGUUUUACAUUCCCAGAAGAAGUUUCCUUUAUAAAAGUUGCAUAGUUUAAAUUUAUUUGCAGCAUUGCAUUCCAUGGCACAGCAAGUGGCUUGCUGAACUCAGAUAUUUUUCAUGUUGGUAUGUUUGUGGCGAAGUAUUAAUAAAUAUGAAGAUGUGGGCAACAUGGUGUCUGUAUAGUUUUGUGAACAUCUUAAACAGGUUAAAGCCAUGUGUGACAACAAUCUGUUUAAAAACGGUAGGACUGUUACACACUCUAACAUCAGUUGCAGUUUUUCUUCUUAGAAAACAUUUGUUUGAUAAAUUUUCUAUUCAGGAAAGUGAAAUAAGAGGUGCUUUAUUUUUAUUGCUUUACAACUUCAUUUAAGAAUAAGCUACUUGGGAAGUCUUUGGAAAUUAGGAAGGGUUGGAAACUGAAUGGAAUGCAUCUACUACUGAUCUGUGUUGCUGACAUUAAAUUAAUUGGGGGGGAAAUUCUCUACAAAGAAUUAUUAAAAGAGGUUUGUCUUACACAGGAGGAAUUAAGUAUAUGUUUGUUCCCUAUCACCAGAAUGCAGAAUAGAAUUAUAAAGAUUAAUGAAACAUGUUUGAGGUUUCACUGCAGUGAAGAUGUUGACUAUGGUAGCCACCAAUAAGAAGAUUGCACUCCAAACCAUUCAGAAAACCACAAUUAACAACAUAAUCUUCUGAAAAUGUUUAGUUCUGGUGGAGCUUAUGAAUUUAUACUCAAUAGUUUAAUGCUGGUGCGAUUAAAUAGAGGAGAAUGAAAUGAGUAGGACAUGUAUCGUGCAUGGAUGAAAUGUAUGCAAAAUUUUGCUGGGGAAUUUCAAGGGAUGAGGCCGUGUGGAAAACCUUGGGAAAAUUGUAAAUUGGAUUUUCAAUUUGGUGUGAAGGUAGGGACUGAACUGACAGUCUGGUGGCAAGUUCUUGUGAUUCUUAACAUGGAGUUUGUUAUUAUUUCAUUAAUUUGGUUGUCUAUCUACAAUUAUUAAGAAUGAUAACAAAAUUAUGGUAAACACUGCAAAUAAAAUAUUCACAAGUGUCGCCAUAUUUAUGCUCUUUGUAAAGUGUUUCUUAAAAUAGCCUGAUGUAAAUAACAACUGAAACAAUUAUACAUUUUUUAUAAAAUUAUUGAAUUAUGAAUGUCAUUAUAAUCGCGUUAUCCUUGCUCGAGUUGUUUAUGUGGAUGAUAAUUACCCUUUACGUCACAUCAGCUGUGCAUGAAAUCACCAUGUUUUCCCCCACCGCGUUAUCGGUGUAGGUCGCAGGUUGUUUGUGGUGUUAUCUGUGUCUGCUAGAUGAACCAGUUGAACCGUAUGUUACCACUGUUUAGAACGAUUCAGUAUAAAAAAAAUAACAUAACAUUGAACGGUUGUUUUCAUGGCGGCAGGAAGAGAAAUUGUUACUUUGCAGUUUGGGUGUUAUUCGAAUUUCAUCGGCGCACAUUGGUGGAAUUUACAGGUUUCAGUAAUGUUUUGUCGAUCUUUAACCUUAUUGCCCAACAAUAAACAGGAGGCUGGGUUUGAGUACAAUGCAGAUAACCCAUCUGAAAUUAACCAUGAUGUACUUUUUCGGGAAGGGGUCACUUCCAAGGGUCAUGUGACAUUUACUCCAAGACUGCUCCUAGUUGAUCUAAAGGGCAGUCUUGGCCACCUUCGGCAGGAAGGGGACCUGUAUAACCAUCCUGAAGAUGUAAACCCUAAUAAAGUUCAGUGGCCUGUUGAAAAAGUGGAUGUAUUAUGUACUCCUACAGUUGAAAAAAAUGAAUUUAUAAAUGACUUGGAGAGUGAAGAAAAUGUCAUGGUUAAUACAGAAGCACCUGGCAGUCUUCCCAAAGUUUACAAUUUGGACAGUGUGACUAAUGUUUGGGCUGAUUACCUUCGAACUAGGUAUCAUCCACGAACAGUGUCAAUAAUAAACGAAUAUGAACACAACAGUGACACGAAGCCUUUUGAUGUGUUUAACCAAGGUGCAAACCUUUGGAAGACAGAACAGUUUCAAGAUGACUUCACUGACCGCAUUAGAAUGUAUGCGGAGGAGUGUGAUAAUAUGCAGGGUUUUCAUAUUCUUCUAGAUGGUUCUGAUGGGUUUGCUGGUCUUGGUACAAGUGCUCUGGAAUAUUUAGAAGAUGAAUAUUCAACAAAAAGUAAAUUAGUGUUCCCAACUAUACCAUCUGAAUUUAGCAACACAACAACAUUCCAGGACAGCGUGCGACUGUUAAAUUUAGCGCUUGGUUUCCACAGCCUGGCAGAGCAUAGCUCUCUCUUUGUGCCACUUUGCAUGGGUUCAUCAGGUUGGAGGCAGCCAGGUGUCCCCAGGGAUUUCCCACAUCUACGGUAUAAUAGUUCCCUAGCCUAUCACAGCAGUGCUGUACUUGCAGCUGCUCUGGAUACGGCGACUCUUCGUUAUCGCCUGAAGACUGGAAUGCGUACUUCUCUGUCAGAGAUGACUGACUCUUUAAGCAGGCUGGGUCGUAGAGUUGCUGUUGCAAGCCUAGGGCUACCAUUUGCCAUGGAAUAUGAUGCAUACCUUCUGGACACACUGGAGCAGUGGGAAGGCCCCCUUUGGCAAACCCUCUCUCCGAACUGCAACUUAGAGAAUGAUCGUAUCUGGAUCCAGUCAGUUGUAUUGCGUGGUGUGCCGAAACUGAGGCUCAAGAGUGUGCAGAUGCAGCAGGACAGGAACCCAGCGUACACAUGCACCAGCGUGCAGGAAAUGCUCAGUCUGUUCUUAACAUGUUGCUCGUAUGCUACAGCAUCUCAUGUUACUUCUGCUGACUCACCUUGUAAUGUCUCCUCACCAUUUCCCCAGAUCUUUUCUGAAUUUGUUGGACUGGAUGGUUCAGUCAGUACUCAGAAAAGGCCUGGAAAUAUUGGUGUUUACUCAGUGCCAGCAAUUGCAGGACUUCACAGUUGCCGCAGUGUAGGUGAUAUGUUGGCGGCACUGAAUAUGGAAGUGAGGAAACUCCAGCUGAAACGUUUCCAUUGCUUUUGUAAUUCUGGACUGGAGGAGGAUGAAUAUGAAGAAUGCCUUAACCACCUGGCUCUUUUACGCGAGUGCUAUAAUGAAGAGUUUGAUGUAUAAUGUGAGUGACUGCCACAGGUCUGGAGAUAUAUGUGAUGUUUUGUAAUGUUUACAUAGUUUGCUGGUUCAUAGAUAUUUGAUAACACAAAAGAGAACUUUGUGUGAAAGAUAAGCAGAAACUUAUAUGUGGCACAUUCAAAGCAUUCCAUGACCAGAGCCAUGUCUUGAAUCUGGAGGCACUAACCAGUACUUUGAUGUUGUUGCAUUCAAAAUGUAGCUGUGCAGCAGCUAUAAAGCAUUCAUACAGUUUGAAACAUUUCUGGAAGUAACCGUGAGUGACCUCCAACAGUACAUUCUUCAAAGCCAUCUGAAUCUCGAAUGCAUUCUUGAAGUACCAUCCCUACAGCUCAUACUUCAUCCAUGGAAGCAUGAUUGGGAAGCAUCACAAGAUUGUGCUUGGUGAGUUGGUGCACAUGCAAAAAUUGAUGUGCUGGGGCUUUGUCAUGCAGGAACAUCAAGUGUUCGGCUGCCCAUAUUUGAGGAAUUACCUCCUGUAGAUGGGUGGGCAUCUUCAUGUUGACUAUAACACCGUUAGAAAUAAACUUAUUGUGCAUUAUGCCCUGCAGCUGGAAAAGGGUUUCUGAUGCCCUGUCUUUCUGGGGAUCCUGUUGGAACUUUCAACAUUCUUAGCGCUGAUGGAUGCAGUGCAUCUUCAUAUCUAUGGUGGGGUAACUACCAACUGAAAUUCUGAUUUUCUCUACAAUCAUCUAUACCAUCUUACAACAGUCAUGCCACACAACUACUGCUGUCACAUUUCAGUUGUCCUACAGUGUCGCAGGCUGCUGAAACUGAUCGAUAUAGCCCCUUUGAUCUCCUUGCUCAACUUUGUUCACUUCUGGGACCUGUCACAUCCACUAGUCGAAUGUCUCUCCAGGCAGAUGCUGAGAUUACAUUGCAGUGGAUUCCUUGCCUUUCAUUCACAGUCAUCUUUAUCGCAUGAUGUAUGCAGCUGACAAGUUUUGUUAAGUGAUGGUAAUAUAUUCAGUCCCUAAGGUACUUACCAUUACGAGUUAUGACAUUUAUGGCUUUUGAUAGCUUCCUCUGCUCCUGCAGUGCUUCACUGGAGUGAUUGUUUUUCACUGCUGCUAGUAUUUUGAUACUUGGGCUUGGAAGCAUGUUAAGGCUUGUAGCAAUUGCUGAGUCAAAACCCAGUGUGAAAGCUCCAGCUAGAACCUGAACACAGAAAGAAAUCAUGUUUAUUGCAUAGUUUGAAAUGAAGUGAGUCAAACCACAGUCAGUGGUGAUCCUUUAGGUUUCGUAAAUACAAAGAACUUCUUGGUCAGCUGAGUAACUGAUACUCUGCCAAGUAGCUCAGGCAGUUGGAUGGAACAAAUCUGAUCAUCUUGAGAUAUCCAGUUUGAAUAGAGAUAAUGUAUGGCACUAGCUAUUCUAACUGAAUGUUUAAUGGUUUUCCUCAGUCUGUGUCUUAACUGUGCCAGAACCACUUACUUCCCAUUCAUUGUGCACAGUUAUUCUCUUGUCUCAUUGGACACUAUAAAAACCUGCAUGACAAGAUUUGAAAAGUGAUUCCAUACCAGAAUACACAGACACUGCAGAAUCAUUAGCAAAUGAUGGUUUGAAUUCCACAUGGAUGACAAUUUCACAAGAAAUUUGGGGGGUUUAAAUGAAGUGUGUCCAGUGAUUCAAAGUAAACACUGUUAAGUUUGACUUUGUUACAGGAGUGUUAAUUCUAGACUGACCUCAUGUUAUAGGAUCUUCCUCUAGCAGUUCACAGGUAUUAAGCUUUUACAAGAAUGUGUAGUCAUCACACAAGUCACCUUCUGACCCAAUCGUGAGCCAUAUAAAUUCAUUUUGCAAUAUCACACACCAUUUCUGGUCUUCUAGGACAUUUUCCCAUGCAGUUUUAAAACUAAAAUUUUGUAUGUGUUCUGCGUCUCACCAACCAUCUUGUUCUUAUUCAAUUAAUCACACUAACAGUAUUAGGUGAAAGAUAAAAAUUAUGCAGCUUUCUCCAGCCUUCUGUUACUUCCUCUCACUCUUAUUGCCCAUAAUUCUUUGUUCUUAGGCAUCCUCAGUGUAUGUUCUUCCUUAAGACUAGAAGACACACCAUACAAAGCAAUGAGUAAGAAUAUAGUUUUAUACAUUUGAUAUCUAGGUUUUGAGGUGAAACAAGAUAUUGAUAUUAGUAGUAACUAUUUCCUGAAUUUAAUCUAGUUCCAUCACGAAUUUCACUGUCAUUAUCAAAUACUUGAACUUGCUUCUGUUUCGUAUGUGGCGAUGAGGCACAAACACGUGAAUACUUAGUGCUUACUGUGUUUGUUUCAAGACCAACCUCCUUACUAAGACACAGUAUAAUCAGUGUAUAUAAAUGUAUUAUUGACAGCUAAUGUUUUCUUUCUAA